AUCAAACUCAGAACCUUGCAUUUGGCAGGCAGGUGCAACACCACUGAGCUACAUCCCCAGCCAGGUUUUUCUUGAUUGUUUGAACACGGUUUCUGGGGUUGUUUUUGAUGUUUUGUUCUGUUCUGUUCUUGUUUUUGUUUCUUCCUUUCUCAUUCUCGCUUGUCUUCUUCACCAUUUUCCCAAAGUCUGUACGAUCUUCCUUGGUCCUCCAGCCUUGCUUCUAAUCUCUUCCUCUUCUUCUAUCUCUCUGUCUUUCCCCCCAACCUCUCUUAAAUCUUCUCCCCUAAGGGUAAAAUCGAUAUUAAGGGCUAAUUUAUUGCAUACAAUUUUCUGGUUUAUUUUAGAUUUUAUUAUAUAACCACAAAUCCAGUUCAUAUGGUUAAAGGUUGCAAAUUAAUACUUACCACAAUUUGUCAUUUUCUAGGUUAUAUUUGAUAUAUAUAUAUAUAUAUGCUGAUUGUACUACUCUAGCCAAGGUGACAUAAUUGUGCUAAUCAGUUCUUCUUCCUGGUUUACUGAGACUGAGAUUGCCUAAGGGUCUUAAAAAAAAAAUUACAGGCCAGUGUUAAAGAACCGGCUGGGCCAAGUAGUCAGAAACCUCAUCCCAAAUAAAUUGAAGAGGUAGGAUCUUGCAACAGACUGAAAACCCAAAAGCCAGCAACACCCAGAAGACACCUUUGAGAAGUAGUCACUCCCUAAAGGUUUUCAAUAUUGGCAUUAAAGCUACUCAGCAUAAGCAGUUUGCAAUCAUCAACCCAGGAAUUAAACUUAAAAAAAAGAAAACGAGAAGACACCUAAACAACAUGCAACCCCCCCAGACUUCCAGCUCACCAAAGGCAAACCCAGGCUGCAAUGAGGUGAAACAAUCCGAAUACCACCUACCUGGAUUCUCUGAAGUGCUAACAGCAGAAGUAACAAAGCAAAUGAAUGAGGCUCUAGAAAAGAAAUCAAAGCAGAAAUAAUUUCUCAGGUGACUACAGAGAUGUGACCAGAAUGAAAGAUUUGCUUAGAGACUCUAGAGCAGGUACAGAUUUAUUUUAAAAAGUAGAGGAGCUCAGGAAAGUGAUGGAAACCAUGAACACCCAGUAUAGGAAAGAAAUGGAAACCGUGAACUCCCAGCAUAGGAAAGAAAUUGAAUCCAUGAAACAGAUUCAAACAGAUAUCCAGAAGAUGAAAAACUCCAUUGAAACUAAAUCCCUGGCCCUCUGGUAUCAGCUUUUACUAUUUAGUGAAAUGAUCAAAAAUCAGCAAACAGGAAUCAAGGAGAGAAGAGACCAAUAAUUAGCUUUGAGUGAUUAAAAACUGGUAGUGCUACAGUUUAUGACUUGUGUUUCUCUUAAGAAUGAGGAAAGCAACUAUUUUUAAAUCAGUUUUGUAUGAGACUAAAAGUAACUAUAAUUAAAAGAAUAUGUUGCUCUAAGCAUUUGUGGAAGUAUGUGUUUUACCUUUUUUUUUUUUUUUUUUUUGGUACCAGGGAUUGAACUCGGGACCUUGUGCUUGUGAGGCAGGCGGCAGAACUACUGAGCUAAAUCCCUGGCCCUAGUUGUGGAAGUAAAUUUAUAAUAAUGUCUAACUCAUAGGUAGCAAGAUAAUGUUUGUCAUAGUUUUUCCCUUCUGUCACAAAACUGAUCAGUGAUUUGUUACCUGUUCAUUAAUUAUAGACCCGACACAUUUCCUAACAUAAGUAUACAAUAACAGGAGGGAGGGGCUGGGGAUUUAGCUCAGAGGUUCUGGUGUCUGCCUCGAAAGCACAAGGUCCCGAGUUCUAUCCCCAGUACCAAAAAAAAAAAAAAGAAAGAAAGAAAUAACAGGAGAGAGAAACCUGUAGGCAAACCUUUCUCUGAGAGUGAAAGAUCAUCUCUCUUCCUGCCCUUUUAAAAUUUUAUAUUUGAGACAGGGCCUCGCUAACUUGCUGUGUUGUCCAGGGUAUUACUAAUUUGCCCAGGAUGGCUUUUAGAUUGUGACCCUCUUGCCUCAGCCUCCCAUUAAUUGAGAUGACAGUUGUGCAUCAUCAGGCACAACUAUAGAAGACUUUUUGCUCCCAAGUGUACAAAUCCCAGAAUUAGCCUGUUAUCAUUUUGCUUUUAUUCUUUCGUUCUCUAAAAUCACACAGCAAACUGGCUAUCAGCUCCUUGGAUUUUAGGAUAGGUGAUAUUUUGAAGGCUCUUGAUGCUUAAGCCAGG
This 2183-nucleotide long non-coding RNA is filed under the name Heterocephalus glaber (naked mole-rat). Its description in RNAcentral is "lncRNA (ENSHGLG00100047808.1)". The record is from RNAcentral. Lineage: Eukaryota; Metazoa; Chordata; Mammalia; Rodentia; Bathyergidae.